ACACGAAGUACGCAAACCCGGCGAAAGCCGGUGGCGCAAAGCUACAGGGGCUAAAGUACCGCAAGGUUCUAUGCUCGCCAGCUGCCGUG
Molecule: non-coding RNA, 89 nt
Filed under: Rhodocyclales bacterium
Lineage: Bacteria; Pseudomonadati; Pseudomonadota; Betaproteobacteria; Rhodocyclales
Description: c-di-GMP sequence
Rfam family: c-di-GMP-I riboswitch aptamer
About the family: GEMM was predicted in a large-scale screen for bacterial structured RNA regulatory elements.
Source: RNAcentral